Molecule: transfer RNA, 74 nt
Filed under: uncultured Aminicenantes bacterium
Lineage: Bacteria; Candidatus Aminicenantota
Description: transfer RNA-Ile
Rfam family: tRNA
About the family: Transfer RNA (tRNA) molecules are approximately 80 nucleotides in length. Their secondary structure includes four short double-helical elements and three loops (D, anti-codon, and T loops). Further hydrogen bonds mediate the characteristic L-shaped molecular structure. tRNAs have two regions of fundamental functional importance: the anti-codon, which is responsible for specific mRNA codon recognition, and the 3' end, to which the tRNAs corresponding amino acid is attached (by aminoacyl-tRNA synthetases). tRNAs cope with the degeneracy of the genetic code in two manners: having more than one tRNA (with a specific anti-codon) for a particular amino acid; and 'wobble' base-pairing, i.e. permitting non-standard base-pairing at the 3rd anti-codon position.
Source: RNAcentral
GGGCCUAUAGCUCAGUUGGUAAGAGCGCACGCCUGAUAAGCGUGAGGUCGGUGGUUCAAAUCCACUUAGGCCCA